Molecule: ribosomal RNA, 497 nt
Filed under: uncultured bacterium
Lineage: Bacteria
Description: partial 16S ribosomal RNA
Rfam family: Bacterial small subunit ribosomal RNA
Source: RNAcentral
GAUGAACGCUGGCGGCGUGCCUAAUACAUGCAAGUCGAGCGAACGGACGAGAAGCUUGCUUCUCUGAUGUUAGCGGCGGACGGGUGAGUAACACGUGGAUAACCUACCUAUAAGACUGGGAUAACUUCGGGAAACCGGAGCUAAUACCGGAUGAUAUUUUGAACCGCAUGGUUCAAAAGUGAAAGACGGUCUUGCUGUCACUUAUAGAUGGAUCCGCGCUGCAUUAGCUAGUUGGUAAGGUAACGGCUUACCAAGGCAACGAUGCAUAGCCGACCUGAGAGGGUGAUCGGCCACACUGGAACUGAGACACGGUCCAGACUCCUACGGGAGGCAGCAGUAGGGAAUCUUCCGCAAAGGGCGAAAGCCUGACGGAGCAACGCCGCGUGAGUGAUGAGGGUCUUCGGAUCGUAAAACUCUGUUAUUAGGGAAGAACAUAUGUGUAAGUAACUGUGCACAUCUUGACGGUACCUAAUCAGAAAGCCACGGCUAACUACGUG